RNAcentral lists this transfer RNA (107 nucleotides) under Pleodorina starrii. It matches the Rfam family "tRNA". Rfam says of the family: Transfer RNA (tRNA) molecules are approximately 80 nucleotides in length. The record is from Rfam by way of RNAcentral. Lineage: Eukaryota; Viridiplantae; Chlorophyta; Chlorophyceae; Chlamydomonadales; Volvocaceae.
GACGAGGUGGCCGAGCGGUCUAAGGCGCUAGAUUCAGGGCUACCUGGACUACUUCAGGGAGAAACUUCUAGUCCGUAAGGGCGUGGGUUCAAAUCCCAUCCUCGUCA